CGGAGUGAAGCAUCAAAGCAAGACAUAACUACAUCUCAGAUAAUAUAUUGCUUUAAGAUUACCAAUUACUCAACUAAAUUAAGCAUGUAGGAUGAUUUCUUCAUAUACUCUUUGUUUCCACAAGUUGGGUCAUAUCAAUGACUGCUUCCGAUGGUCGGAGUAGGAAGUUCAUUUGUAAGCCAUUACAAUGCUACAUAUGCUUGGGCAAGUUCUGGCCAUGAGCACUUCAAAUGUCUAGACCCUCAUCCAAUAUGAGUGCACAUAGAAUCACCAAAAAUCUAGCCUAUUCAGGGAUCCCUGAUCUUCGCAAUUAACAACAAAUGUCCAUUUUAUUAAUUUUACGAGAAUCCAAUCACUAGAAACACCAGUCGAGAAAUCCUUCCCAAAUACCCAUCUCCUUGCUGAAGGUCAUGAAGUUAUGUGCUUCUUGAAUUAGGCCAUGGGGAUCAAGGUUUGAGCCCCUGUUAGCAGAACCAGUUGGUAUCAGAGGGUGUUCCUGCAUUGUUAUGGCAGAUAAAGGGUGCCACGACCUUGUCAAGGAAACCUAGAUAUGAGACAUAUGCAAGUAGCUUCAUCAGGCUUAAGUCCCUUUUAACAUUUCAUCAUGCAUAUUUCUAGCCUACCUAAACUAUGGCCAUCCCCUACAACAUGAACCAUGAGCCCUGCAGGUGGCUUUGAUUCCACCAUAUCAUGCAACUCAUUAUGACCCCAAAUCAACAAUUUGCAAAAUUUGGUGAAUCAAUUUGUCAAAUUUAAGCAAAAUUGAGUUAUUAUUGACUGAGGAAGUGAAGAAAAUGAGGGGUUUCAGGCAAAAGGCAGAUUCUAACACAUCGAAGAAAACCCAAAUUCACAAAAGGGGGGACCAGAACCCCCUUUGAUUUGCUUUGAUACAAAGCAGUUCAGAAUACCUCAAAUAGGAGAAAAAACCUAAUAAAUUGAAGUGUGAUAAACCCUCUAUAAAGUAGAAUUCUCUCCGUGCAAUUCAUUUUCUUUGUAGAACCAUAGAUUUUGCAAAGACCAAAAUAUAUAUAAAGAAAGAGAGAGAGAGCAAUUCUUCUUUGUAGAACCAAAGAUUUUGCAAAGACCAAAAAAGUAAGAGAGAAAGAAAUUGCUUGGGCCUGAAAGGGAAUCACCCACAAGCAAACAUUUUCAACACAUCGUAAGGGAUGAAUUAUAAAAUGAGAGAGAGAGAGAGAGAGAGAGAGAGAGAGAGAGAGAGAGAGAGAGAGA
RNAcentral lists this long non-coding RNA (1230 nucleotides) under Amborella trichopoda. Its description in RNAcentral is "long non-coding RNA (ATRI_LNC000352)". The record is from RNAcentral. Lineage: Eukaryota; Viridiplantae; Streptophyta; Magnoliopsida; Amborellales; Amborellaceae.